Molecule: long non-coding RNA, 683 nt
Organism: Ruditapes philippinarum (Manila clam)
Lineage: Eukaryota; Metazoa; Mollusca; Bivalvia; Venerida; Veneridae
Exons: 3
Source: RefSeq, a predicted model, not a curated record
CAAACUAUGAUUGAAUGAAAAUAAUUCACUAAAUUUGUGCGCUGAUAUCAUUUUACGAAACACAAGAAAAUAAACGAUAGUGGACUGUUGUUGUGCUACGGGAUUGUACGGUUUUGGAAGAAAGAUGAGAGGUAUUGCAAGAAUCUUCAUAUUGAUCGUUAUGGUAACUUUCUUAAAGCAUAUAUCAUGCCAGUGCUCUUGUAGACUAAGUGUUGAAAAUCUAACACACACAUCUUACGAAGGUGAUCGAGCUUACACAAGAAAACUUUAUUAUAAUGUUUGCGUUUCGGAAUAUGAACCAAUGGUCUACAAUGAAAUCCGUCAGGUAUCUGCCAUUUUGGAGUCCAUGCAAUGCUGUUGUCGGGCCUAUUGGAGUAGAGAACGUGUCAAUUCGGGCGGAGGUACAAUCUUUAUCAAUACAGCAGUCUUUUGUCAAAACAUUCCAUGCAGUGCCUUUAUGCCACUUGAAGCCGCUAUGUUGGUUGACAAUUGACAAUAAAUGCAAAUGAAUUAAAAGUAGAUAAAGGAAACAAAACAGAUUUAGGAAAACAACUACUACAACGAUUAGUAAAAUAGAAAACUGGAAUGCCUUCCGCGUUGUUUUUAUUUCAACUUCCACUAUUUAAAAGAAAAACAUCACUUAUCAUUAUUAAUAUUGCAAAUAGAUGUUGCGUUCUGUCGAU